CAGAACUGGGGGGGGGGAAUUAAAAACUUAAUUCAAACAGUAAAGUUCAAAAUAUGAAGUUCCAGCAAAGGGAAAGCCACGGACAAAGCUGCAGCCGCACUCCGAGCGGCUGGAAAUAGCGCCUACCACCGAGAGGCCAACUCUGCACUGGAGCACAGGAAGUGACACGGAGCUGUGAGGAGUGUCUGGAUUGAAACAACACGCUGCUGCAGGAUGAAGCCAGAAGCUGAUUAUUCCUCCUCCAUGCAGCAGAACCACAUCGUCACUCUGAUCAGCUCCGCCCUGAAAUCCGGUCCAUGAGAACCAGCAGAAGGAUCAGAAACCCGAACUGCAGCAGGAACGGGCCGAGCUGAUCACAGACUCCAGACCUCACCAUAAUCCUCCACACAACGCCUCCAGGAACUCUAAUCUCCUCAAGAUCCACAAAACAAUCUUCAGGAAUUCCCCAUCCACCAAUCAGCUGCUACUGAAGAUAAAAAUGCACCAAAAAUGGUUUUCCUGAAUGUUUCUGAAACAAAACUCAACACAAUGAAGUUUUCUUUUCUGGAUUUUCUGACAUGUUUGAGACUUGAUAAAACUCUCAAAAUGACCAAAUAUUCAGUUUCAGAUGAAGCUAAAUUUCACAGAAUUAGUUUUUUCAUCAAACGUUACACCGACCCCCUCCUGCUGCUGUAGGGAUUAUGUAAUCCUCAUGUUUCUGAUGUAAUCCCAUAAUAUGACCCACACAUGACCUGUAGUAAUCUGGCA
Gambusia affinis (western mosquitofish) is the source of this 747-nucleotide long non-coding RNA. RefSeq lists it as uncharacterized. NCBI's taxonomy places the organism in Eukaryota, Metazoa, Chordata, Actinopteri, Cyprinodontiformes, Poeciliidae. The record is from RefSeq and is a predicted model, not a curated record. The transcript has 3 exons.